CGGGGUGGAGUAAUAGUCUGGGAAACGUGCCUGAUGGAGGGGGAUAACUACUGGAAACGGUAGCUAAUACCGCAUAACGUCGCAAGACCAAAGUGGGGGACCUUCGGGCCUCAUGCCAUAAGAUGUGCCCAGAUGGGAUUAGCUAGUAGGUGGGGUAACGGCUCACCUAGGCGACGAUCCCUAGCUGGUCUGAGAGGAUGACCAGCCACACUGGAACUGAGACACGGUCCAG
Molecule: ribosomal RNA, 232 nt
Filed under: uncultured bacterium
Lineage: Bacteria
Description: partial 16S ribosomal RNA
Rfam family: Bacterial small subunit ribosomal RNA
Source: RNAcentral